Molecule: unclassified non-coding RNA, 200 nt
Filed under: soil metagenome
Description: partial contains internal transcribed spacer 2 and large subunit ribosomal RNA
Source: RNAcentral
GGUGCGGCAGGACACAUCUUCUGAGCUAUAAGCAUUACUUAUUUAGUCCCGUCAAACGGAUUAUAUCUAUUGCUGCAGCUAACAUAAAGGUCGAUUGUCCUUGUGCCCGACUGAUGCAGGAAAAUGAAGGCGGGUCUCUUGUAGACGCGUCCUUUGUUCAACUCGAUCUCAAAUCAAGCAAGACUACCCGCUGAACUUAA